AGAGCGAACGCUGGCGGCAGGCCUAACACAUGCAAGUCGAACGGACCCUUCGGGGUUAGUGGCGGACGGGUGAGUAACACGUGGGAACGUGCCUUUUGGUUCGGAAUAGCUCCUGGAAACGGGUGGUAAUGCCGAAUGUGCCCUUCGGGGGGAAAGAUUUAUCGCCAUUAGAGCGGCCCGCGUCUGAUUAGCUAGUUGGUGAGGUAAAGGCUCACCAAGGCUACGAUCAGUAGCUGGUCUGAGAGGAUGACCAGCCACAUUGGGACUGAGACACGGCCCAAACUCCUACGGGAGGCAGCAGUGGGGAAUCUUGCGCAAUGGGCGAAAGCCUGACGCAGCCAUGCCGCGUGAAUGAUGAAGGUCUUAGGAUUGUAAAAUUCUUUCACCGGGACGAUAAUGACGGUACCCGGAGAAGAAGCCCCGGCUAACUCGUGCCAGCAGCCGC
Molecule: ribosomal RNA, 445 nt
Filed under: uncultured soil bacterium
Lineage: Bacteria
Description: bacterial SSU rRNA
Rfam family: Bacterial small subunit ribosomal RNA
Source: RNAcentral